RNAcentral lists this ribosomal RNA (253 nucleotides) under uncultured bacterium. RNAcentral describes it as "partial 16S ribosomal RNA". It matches the Rfam family "Bacterial small subunit ribosomal RNA", at positions 524 to 776 of the family's 1533-position model. The record is from RNAcentral.
UACGUAGGGUGCAAGCGUUGUCCGGAAUUAUUGGGCGUAAAGAGCUCGUAGGCGGUUUGUCGCGUCUGCUGUGAAAACUCGGGGCUUAACUCCGGGCCUGCAGUGGGUACGGGCAGACUAGAGUGCGGUAGGGGAGACUGGAAUUCCUGGUGUAGCGGUGAAAUGCGUAGAGAUCCGGAGGAACACCAGUGGCGAAAGCGGCUACCUGGCCCAUUCUUGACGCUGAGGCGCGAAAGCUAGGGGAGCAAACGGG